This 520-nucleotide long non-coding RNA is filed under the name Anas platyrhynchos platyrhynchos (common mallard). RNAcentral describes it as "lncRNA (ENSAPLG00000028340.1)". The record is from RNAcentral. Lineage: Eukaryota; Metazoa; Chordata; Aves; Anseriformes; Anatidae.
AGCUGACUAUCAUACUAAUGAGGAGAUCUAAGACAAUUCUAACAAUACCAGGAACUCGCUGAAAAUUUAUUUGCAUGUUGCAAUUCAUUUGGAAAAACUGUUAAACUAGAAGGUAUGUCUGUGUACCCAGAGAUGCAAUGUAAGCAUGCAAAAGAACACUGCAGCUCUCCUGUGAAGUGAAAUGUCUUAUACUUGCUCUACUUGGGAAGCAUGCUAGUAUUGCUUGCAGUCUUUGAGAAUGGUAGGUUCUGCUACACUCAUAUUUGGACAGCAGCAUUAAAUAGUUGCUGAAAUAGGUUAGUGGAAUUUAUAAAAAUAAAACAAAAAAACCAAAAACAAAAACAAACAAACAAUUCCAAGAAAUGAAUCAAGCAUGAGUGAAUAUAAACUAACAAUCUUCAAGCUUUUUUUUUCACUUUUAGAGGAUGCUCAUAAAGAUGAAACAUCUUUAAGUUGUCAAGAAGAGCUGAUGGAUCUACAGCUCAAGCUCUCACUACAGCUCUGUCACACUCUUCAAUGA